Molecule: non-coding RNA, 3160 nt
Organism: Ictidomys tridecemlineatus (thirteen-lined ground squirrel)
Lineage: Eukaryota; Metazoa; Chordata; Mammalia; Rodentia; Sciuridae
Source: RefSeq, a predicted model, not a curated record
AUAUAUGUACCUAUAUAUAUUUUUUUAAAUAAAAAAUUAAAAUAAAUGCACUAUAUAUAUAUAUGGUGGUACAAUAAGCAGAUGGGAAAGAGACUUUAAUUCUCUUUCCCUAAGAUCCUUUAUCCAGCUGGGACUUGUAUCAAACCACAGUUCCAGUCUGUCCUUUGCUCCAUGUGAGUUUAUCCAACUCAUGAACAUUACAUGACUUUGUUCUUCAAAGUUCUGUAAACCUAGCCCUUACUGUUUAAAAUUUAAUGUUGCAAAGGUAAAAUUUAUGCUUAUAAACCAGCCAAUCCAUUUCCAAACUUCUUUUUCUUUCAAUGAUUUAAGUGUAGUUAAUGUCCACACCCACAUAUCUAUGCUUCUAUUUUAUUCAUUUACAUUUCUUAGUUUUUUAGGAUUCCUCCCAAGUGACUACCGAUCUAGUAUUACUAAAUGUCUUCUGACCUUGUAACACUGAUGACCAUCUUUCUAAUUUCUAAUACAUGAGCCUUCUGUAUUUGCUGUGAUCUCUCAACUAAUGCCACAUGUUUUCAUUUUGUUUUAUGUUUUCCGUAUUAGUCAGGAUAGGACAGACUGUAUUGCAAUAACAAAUAUACUUUGACAUUUCACUGGAUUAAUGUAAUAAAAGUUAAUUUCUAGUUCAUGUCAAGCCCGAUACGGAUGCAGGGUCUCUGUGUUUUCCUCAACACAUCCUCCCUAAGCAAUUACUCAGACAACAAGCUGCUUCCAAUUUACAGUUUUGUGAUCUGAGCCAAGAGGCAGUGAGGGAUGAGAAAAGAGAAUUAGAGCACCCCAUCAGUUAUUGUUAAAGGCUGUAUAAUGGCAGUGUCUGACACCAUCUUUAACAUCUCCAUAUCCACUGGUUAGAAGUUCGCCAUACAGCACCAACAUGUACUCAAGGAGCCUGAGCUUCAGAGAUCAUCAUAGGGGAAGUACCUAGUGCUUUAUGUCAUGAUACAUAUGAAAAGUCUUAAUCUUUUAUAAGGCACUUCAUCAUUUUAUACUUAAUAUUCAGAUUGUUAUAAGAGGCUGGACAGUAAUUCUGGUAGCUCAGGCACUCACAUUCACAUGUUAGGAGAUCAGCAUUAGGGGCUCAAUUACAACUUGAUUUGGGAGAUUUUGGGCCUGUCAAUUUCAGGAUAGUGAACACCUUGAAAGAAGGAGUAAAGAGGAAAAUACUACAAAGAAUGGAAUAGGAGGCUCAAUUGCAUUGGUACUGAUUUGAAACACAUUCACAAAUUAUUUGAUCAUCUUCUCAUUAACAGGUGGAGCUAGCACUUCCUCCUAGUGAAUAAAAUACAGUGGAAAUGACAGGUGUGACCUAGAGAAGGUUGACCAGCAAAGACAUUUGCAGUUUUUAUCUUGCUCAUUAUCUCAGGUCACUGUCUGAGAAAAGAGGCUAACUGACCUGGGACGACAACCAAGUGUCCUUGCAGAAAGAUACAUGUGGAGAGGAACAGACAGGCCCUCUCUCCCAGCCAUGUGAGUGAGCAACCUUGGAACUCACUUCUCUAGCCUCAGGGAAAGUUUCAGAUGACUGCAGCUCUGGCAAUAACCUUAUGAGAGACCUCAAGCCAGAACCACCCAGCAAGGCUACUCCCUAAUUCCUGAACCACAGAAACUGUGAUAAAUGUUUAUGGUUUUAAGCCACUAAUAUUGGGAGCAAUUUAUUAGACAGCAACUGAUAAAUAAUUCAACAUCUGUAAUAUUUUAUAUCCAGAAAAUCUAAAAAAAAACUGUGAAUAUAGUGUCAAUCAGGGUAGAUGAUAAUUACAUGUAUAACAACUUGCUUAUUCAACCCUUAAGUUGAACUUAACUGUGUGCCAUUCAUUGUUCUACAUGGCUUGCAAAAAUGAAAUAUGUGGAUAUUCAAAACCAAACUAUGUGAAAUUUACUAUAGUGAUCUCACCUUUACAGAUGAGUGAACUACCAACUAGAAAGGUUAGAAAGCUUUUCAGAGGUCACUAAUGAAUAAAUGACACACAGAAAAUUCAUACUCGAGCAGUGUUUCUACAUGGUUUGUGCUCUUAGCAAUUAACAUUAUUUUAUGAGUUAUAAUGAAAUGUGUUGCUUAUAAAUUUUUAAAUAUUUUAUAAUUUAAAUUAUAAAAAUUACAUGAUGAGAUCAUUUUUCCAUCAUCUGAUAGGCUUCUACACAUACAAAGACAUGGGUUUUAUCUUGGUUACCCUUAUAGGCAAAAGCAAAAAAAUUUAAAAAAUGAAAAUAAAUUAUUUAUAAGGGAAAAAAAGUAAAGAAAAGGAAUUCUCUAUUUAGCACCAACUCAAGAAACAAUUUCUUUCCUUCUUUAAACCUUAAAGCCAUAACUUCUGACUUCCAUGAUUCAUAAGUAGAAUAAUUUGGAAUUUGUUGUAUUGGAGAAAAAAAAAUAUUAGUGGAACAAGUGAUUGUAGAUGAGGAAAAUGAGGCUGCUUGGUUGCUGUUAUCUCUAUGGCUUGGGGAACUAACUUUUUUGUAUCUGAGAAUCAGCUAUGAAAUUGUCAUUUUUAUCUUUACCUAAAUUCAGCAUUCACAUCUGGCCUCAUAUGGACUUAUAUUAUCAUCAUCUUUUCUGAAUCAAAGAGACAAGCCUAUCCUGUUGGCAUUAGAAACUAAGGAGGUUCCAGAAUAGAAGAAAGAAGGUAGCAAUGCAAAAAUCAGUGAAAAAAAUCCCUGGAAUAACUGAUAAUGAAUUGGAAAAAGAUGAUGUUUCACUUGCCAUGAAGGUAUCUUACGGAAGAAUCAGUUGUGAGGAGCUCAGCUGGAAGAGGACUAUAUCUUAUGAUGUGGCAGGAACAAAGAAAUCAGAAGGAGAUGAAUUAAGAAUACUGUUUGGAGACAAACAUGACAGAACCAUCACUUGCAUAGAAAGUUACAUCUUCAUCAUUCUUCAGAGCUAACUUUUGCCAAAGACUAAUGGAUUUAUUUUGUAUAUUGAUUUAUACAAAAGUAAUUCUAUUCCAAAAUCUGUAACUAGCAUGUUUAUAAUCUGUUAAGUUGCUUAACUUUCCUGUUGUAUAAAACAGAAGUAUAACACCUUUCCUUUCUCUUAGAGUAGUUGUAAAGAGAAAAUGAUAUAAUUGAUAUGUAAGUUCUUUGAAAGUCUAAAAAUGAUGAUCAAAUGUUAACUGUUAUUUUCAAAAACUAUUAAUUUUAUCAU